UAGGGAAUCUUCCGCAAUGGACGCAAGUCUGACGGAGCAACGCCGCGUGAGUGAUGAAGGUUUUCGGAUCGUAAAGCUCUGUUGCCAGGGAAGAACGCUUGGGAGAGUAACUGCUCCUGAGGUGACGGUACCUGAGAAGAAAGCCCCGGCUAACUACGUGCCAGCAGCCGCGGUAAUACGUAGGGGGCAAGCGUUGUCCGGAAUUAUUGGGCGUAAAGCGCGCGCAGGCGGUUAUUUAAGUUUGGUGUUUAAGCCCGGGGCUCAACCCCGGAUCGCACUGAAAACUGGAUGACUUGAGUGCGGGAGAGGAAAGUGGAAUUCCACGUGUAGCGGUGAAAUGCGUAGAGAUGUGGAGGAACACCAGUGGCGAAGGCGACUUUCUGGACCGUAACUGACGCUGAGGCGCGAAAGCGUGGGGAGCAAACA
This 426-nucleotide ribosomal RNA is filed under the name uncultured Paenibacillus sp. RNAcentral describes it as "bacterial SSU rRNA". It matches the Rfam family "Bacterial small subunit ribosomal RNA", at positions 355 to 774 of the family's 1533-position model. The record is from RNAcentral. Lineage: Bacteria; Bacillati; Bacillota; Bacilli; Caryophanales; Paenibacillaceae.